GGAUUUCUUUCUGGAGGUCUCUUCUUGGUGAAGUUUUCUCCUACAAACCUGGAAUCCUCUGUUACAGGGCUACUUUAAUUAUCAGAGAGCCUGCACUGAUGUGAGGAACUACUGAGGUUGAUGCUAGUAUGGAAAUCACAGUACUACAGAAAAAUGACAAGAACCUGGUGUGGGACCGUUAAUUGGGAUCUCUUCUGUUUCUGAAGACUUACAGUGUUCAAGAAACAACUGAAAGCCCAACAGGAGGGGCUGUGGGGCAAGUCUCAGGCCUUCUUAUUGCACCCUGCACCUUCUAUUGUAAUGCUGCUGCACUUCAGCCACCCCCAGCUGUCCUUCAAGCCUCCCCAAGGCUCUUCUCUGCUGCACUGCCCACAAAUCACUGUCACCUGAUAGUCUUGAAGCUGGAGGCCAUCUGUGACCAUAGUGACUACUGAUUUAUGGAAGCACACCCAUCUUUGUUGUUAUUCAUGCCACCUUUUUCAUGCAUUUUUCCCUUACUCCCUGAAUGUCUUGUCUUGGGAACAUGGAGUGCAAGGACAAUGGGGUGGGAACUGCCUAAAGCAAUGAAUAUGAGGUGCAAAAUAGAUGAAGUAGGGCUUUGUGAAAAAUAUAUUGAGAAAUAAUAGUAUGUUUGGAGUAGAUACUUGUCAAAACAAGAUUGUAUCAAAUAUAAUUAUAGAGGAGAACAAAUCAACCAAGCUAUGUAGGCCAGAAUCGCUGAUCAUGCUAAAGACUGGAAGGAUCACGGAGG
Molecule: long non-coding RNA, 751 nt
Organism: Lagopus leucura (white-tailed ptarmigan)
Lineage: Eukaryota; Metazoa; Chordata; Aves; Galliformes; Phasianidae
Exons: 4
Source: RefSeq, a predicted model, not a curated record